AGGACGAACGCUGGCGGCGUGCUUAACACAUGCAAGUCGAACGAGGUCCAACCUUCGGGUGAAGACCUAGUGGCGAACGGGUGCGUAACACGUGAGGAACUUGUCCCGGUCUCUGGGAUAACAGUUGGAAACGACUGCUAAUACCGGAUGACGUCGGAGCGUCGCAUGGCGCGCUGACGAAAGGGUUACUGGAUCGGGAGAGCCUCGCGGCCUAUCAGCUUGUUGGUGGGGUAACGGCCUACCAAGGCAUCGACGGGUAGCUGGUCUGAGAGGAUGAUCAGCCACACUGGGACUGAGACACGGCCCAGACUCCUACGGAGGCAGCAGUGGGGAAUCUUGCGCAAUGGGCGAAAGCCUGACGCAGCAACGCCGCGUGCGGGAAGAAGGCUCGUCGGGUUGUAAACCGCUUUCAGAAGGAACGAAACUGACGGUACUUCAGAAGAAGGUGCGGCCAACUACGUGCCAGCAGCCGCGGUAA
This 478-nucleotide ribosomal RNA is filed under the name uncultured bacterium. RNAcentral's name for it is "SSU rRNA". It matches the Rfam family "Bacterial small subunit ribosomal RNA", at positions 26 to 523 of the family's 1533-position model. The record is from RNAcentral.